RNAcentral lists this ribosomal RNA (305 nucleotides) under uncultured bacterium. Its description in RNAcentral is "bacterial SSU rRNA". It matches the Rfam family "Bacterial small subunit ribosomal RNA", at positions 335 to 658 of the family's 1533-position model. The record is from RNAcentral.
CCCCCACGGGACGCAGCAGUGGGGAAUAUUGCACAAUGGGGGAAACCCUGAUGCAGCAACGCCGCGUGAGUGAAGAAGUAUUUCGGCAUGUAAAGCUCUAUCAGCAGGGAAGAAAAUGACGGUACCUGACUAAGAAGCCCCGGCUAACUACGUGCCAGCAGCCGCGGUAAUACGUAGGGGGCAAGCGUUAUCCGGAUUUACUGGGUGUAAAGGGAGCGUAGACGGCAGUGCAAGUCUGAAGUGAAAGGCAAGGGCUCAACCUUUGGACUGCUUUGGAAACUGUGCUGCUGGAGUGUCGGAGAGGC